Molecule: ribosomal RNA, 240 nt
Filed under: Streptococcus pneumoniae
Lineage: Bacteria; Bacillati; Bacillota; Bacilli; Lactobacillales; Streptococcaceae
Description: partial 23S ribosomal RNA
Rfam family: Bacterial large subunit ribosomal RNA
Source: RNAcentral
AAACAACCCAGACCGCCAGCUAAGGUCCCAAAGUACUAGUUAAGUGGGAAACGAAGUGGGAAGGCUUAGACAGCUAGGAUGUUGGCUUAGAAGCAGCCAUCAUUUAAAGAAAGCGUAAUAGCUCACUAGUCGAGUCGGCCUGCGCGGAAGAUGUAACGGGGCUAAAACUAGUCACCGAAGCUGCGGCAUCAGUAGCAAUACUGUUGGGUAGGGGAGCGUUCUGUAAGCGGAUGAAGGUGA